Molecule: non-coding RNA, 300 nt
Organism: Pelodiscus sinensis (Chinese soft-shelled turtle)
Lineage: Eukaryota; Metazoa; Chordata; Testudines; Trionychidae
Source: RefSeq, a predicted model, not a curated record
AGUACAAAAUGAGGGUACUUGACUUCAUCUCCUCCACCUACUAUGAAGGCAACAAGAAUAUUUGGAAGAAACAGCCUGUAGACUGUGGAAACUGAUCCCAGGUUGAGUAAGGAAUUCAGCCUGGAUAUUAAGAACUGUGAACUGUUUUCAAUGCCCAUUGAGAUCUAUUGCAACUACACCUGGAAACUUCAUUUACUUCGGCAUACCCUGUUGUUACUUCAGAAUGACAAACCGUCAGGAGCUCAGAAUGCAGCUCUCAAAGUCUUCAGGGAUGAGAUCUUUCAGGACAAACAAAAAAAC